RNAcentral lists this ribosomal RNA (253 nucleotides) under uncultured bacterium. Its description in RNAcentral is "partial 16S ribosomal RNA". It matches the Rfam family "Bacterial small subunit ribosomal RNA", at positions 524 to 776 of the family's 1533-position model. The record is from RNAcentral.
UACGGAGGAUCCAAGCGUUAUCCGGAAUCAUUGGGUUUAAAGGGUCCGUAGGCGGCUUAAUAAGUCAGUGGUGAAAGCCCUACGCUUAACGUAGGAACGGCCAUUGAUACUGUUAGGCUUGAAUUAUUAGGAAGUAACUAGAAUAUGUAGUGUAGCGGUGAAAUGCUUAGAGAUUACAUGGAAUACCAAUUGCGAAGGCAGGUUACUACUAAUGGAUUGACGCUGAUGGACGAAAGCGUGGGUAGCGAACAGG